GAGCGGUAGAGAGAAGCUUGCUUCUCUUGAGAGCGGCGGACGGGUGAGUAAUGCCUAGGAAUCUGCCUGGUAGUGGGGAAUAACGUUCGGAAACGGACGCUAAUACCGCAUACGUCCUACGGGAGAAAGCAGGGGACCUUCGGGCCUUGCGCUAUCAGAUGAGCCUAGGUCGGAUUAGCUAGUUGGUGGGGUAAUGGCUCACCAAGGCGACGAUCCGUAACUGGUCUGAGAGGAUGAUCAGUCACACUGGAACUGAGACACGGUCCAGACUCCUACGGGAGGCAGCAGUGGGGAAUAUUGGACAAUGGGCGAAAGCCUGAUCCAGCCAUGCCGCGUGUGUGAAGAAGGUCUUCGGAUUGUAAAGCACUUUAAGUUGGGAGGAAGGGUUGUAGAUUAAUACUCUGCAAUUUUGACGUUACCGACAGAAUAAGCACCGGCUAACUCUGUG
Molecule: ribosomal RNA, 448 nt
Filed under: uncultured bacterium
Lineage: Bacteria
Description: bacterial SSU rRNA
Rfam family: Bacterial small subunit ribosomal RNA
Source: RNAcentral